RNAcentral lists this non-coding RNA (48 nucleotides) under Schistosoma margrebowiei. The record is from RNAcentral. Lineage: Eukaryota; Metazoa; Platyhelminthes; Trematoda; Strigeidida; Schistosomatidae.
AUUCAGCUGAUGAGUCCCAAAUGGGACGAAACUUGGGUCAAACUGGAU